RNAcentral lists this long non-coding RNA (4392 nucleotides) under Brassica napus (rape). Its description in RNAcentral is "long non-coding RNA (BNAP_LNC023949)". The record is from RNAcentral. Lineage: Eukaryota; Viridiplantae; Streptophyta; Magnoliopsida; Brassicales; Brassicaceae.
GCAGAACCAGACUCAGCUGCCCCAAUUCAAGAAGCUCAAACCAAAACAUCUAUGGGAAAAGGAAAGUUUGAGAAAGAACAAGAGUUUUCUCUGUUCUUACCUCACUCUGAAUCUAAUUUUGAUAAUUCCUUUGAUGAACUAACUUGUCUUGAACCGGUGCAACCGAGUAGAAUUGUUUCAGUGUCACAGGUUGCAAAAGAAGACUCAGCAGAAAAAGAACCAGAGAGUACAACACAAGAGGAACAACAGAAAAACUUGCAGACAGAAUCAGCUCAUGAAUCUUUGUCUUAUGAUCUGCAAGAGCACUGUAAGGAGUUUAAUAUGGUUGCUUCUGUGCCUAGAAUGUUUGUUAAAGUGAGUACUGAAGACAUAAAACGUUUUGGUCUUGAUAAAGUAAAAGAUUUUUGUGUUUCAAAUUCUGUUUUUGAUAACAUGUUUAAAUCUUUUAAAGAACUUAAACCAGAAAUCAUCUUUGAUCAAAAACGUUUUCAAAAUCAAAAUAAUAACAUUUCUGGUCAUAUUCUGAGUUUUGAUCAUUUUCUGAAACAUGGGAAAAGUUUUGAUCAUUUUGAAAAGGUUUUAGAGCUUGAAUUGAAACAAUCUGAUUUCUGUUUGAAACCUUGUGAUUCAUUUGUUAGAACUGAAGAAAGAAGUUUUGUUACGAACUUCCAUGUGCAUAAACUGAUCCUUGAUAAUUCUUUUGUUUCUGCUUAUGAAUUGAAUGAACCUAAGAAGUUGCAGGAACCGAAAUUGCAUAAAUCUGAUUUUAGAUUUAAAUUUGUGAAAUCUGCAAAGUUCUCUAAGUUUGAGCUUGAUAAUGAUUCUAAACAUGUAGGUUGGUUCUUUGAUGAUAUUCUAGUGUAUAACACUCUCUUUGAUAAACCUGCUGCACAAUUGAAACUAGAUAUCACUGAUUCUGAAUGUGUGAACUUGAACCUUAAUGAUAUUUGGGUCUACAAUACUUCCUUUGAUAUGAUAACACACUUGACUUGUCCAAAAAGAGCUGAGAAGUGUACAGGUAAAAAGAGGGGCUAUACUGAUGAGUCCUUGGCUAAGCUGGAGAUGCAACAAUCAAAUCUUGGAAGCUGUCUAGCCGCCAACUCUGACAUAGGAGCAGUCCGAGGAUCAUAUCUCAGCAACCAGAAGGAAUUAAGCAACAAACUCAACUGCAAUGGAAACUACACUCAUCAGGGUCUCACGUCGAACUGGAAUCAUGUCCAAAGCUUCUCAAAUGAAAGAGUUAUGGGUUCUACAAGACGGGUGAUUCUGUGUUUGCUUUGUCUGAACUUUUCUAAGUGUAGAACAUCUCAAUCCUAUCUAUGGCGACCAGGUGAGCAUGCUAAGGUAACUAAUCAUGUUUUCAAGAGUUCUUUUAUUGAUUACACAGAUAUGAUGCACUUGUUUUUGCCAAAAGAGUCAUGUGCAGAUUAUAUGGAAGCUUUGAAGAAUGCAAAGAGAAAGAACAAGCGUGAGGAAGACAAACGUUUCAAGCUGCCUGAUCUAAGCCAGGAGAGACAUCAUGACGUCACUUGCUUCAUCCUCAUCAAAGAAGCACCUCCAGAUGCAGCAUACAAGCCAAAACCGAUAAAAUACAACUUUGGGAUAAUACUCUUACUCUAUGAUGUUUUUGCUUGUGUUCACUUAUCUUGUUUCAAUGUAUCAGGUUUAAGUAAUGCCUCAGGAGUAAGGAGAGCCAAAUGGAUCAGUCCCUUCUAUAUAAUAGAACCAGUCAGCGACAAUGCCUAUCAAAGAGGCUUGCAAGGUAAGUGUAAUCUGAUUAUAAACUCUGAUGUUACUGACUUGGUCCCUUCUAUUGCAGGUAACACAGAUUUGAGGACAAAUCUUUUUGAAGUGGGAGGGGAUGAUAUGAUCAUGGAAAGCACCAAGGACUGGAAGCAUGAACCUGAACCUGAAGAGCUUGUAGCUGAGGAUGCAACCUUGAAGAACAUUUGGAAACAAGAAGAAUACAUUAGUCUUGGCCGAAGCUUGAUCAUCCAAGACACCUUAACCAUCAUUCAAGCUACUCCACCUUCAAGCUGAUCAUCAUCUAGGCAAGUAGCUUGUGUGUGCUCUUUUCCUAACCUUUGGUUUUGUCCCACUGGGUUUUCCAAAGGAAGGUUUUUAAUGAGGCCACAAGUUACUUCUCCUAUCUCCUAGAUGAUUGAUCUUGGUCUGUCCACAUGAAGACCUUAUGUUAUAUAAUUUUAUCUAAGUUUUUAUGCUAUGUUUUUAUUUUCGAAAACUCUAGUCUUUGUUGUGUUUCCAAGGGAGCCUUGUCUUUAUUUUCUUUGUAUUUUCGAGACCUUGUGCAUGUACAAGGCUUCUCCUUUAUAUUCUGGUCGUGGCCCCUUGUAUCAGUAUCCAUCUUUUUAUCAAAAACCUUUGUUUUCUCUUUUCUUCUUGCUUGUCGAGUUGAUUGAGUGUUGGUGUGUAAUAUCCAACUUCUGGUGUGUAAUAUCCAGAGACUAAGGGCUCUAGUUUGGUGUGUCAUAUCCGAUCUAUUGCCUAGGAGUAUCAAGGAGCCUUUCCGCAGCCUCUUGUGUCACCAUUCGAUCCACAUACCUUGAGAAGCUUGAGUCUUUUGAUUCGUUUCUGCAAGGAUUAUCCCAUCUGUUCCAGAGCAUCAUCCUAGGAUCUCAUUAAGUGGUAUCAGAGCAACUCUGGAAGGGAAGUGUUCAUCUUUCUCUAUGAUUUUCGAUUCGUCUCUUCAUAUUCAUGCUGGAAACUGAUAGAUCUGUGUUGUGGCUGUCGAAAUCUGAUAGAUUAAGGUUAUCUGAUUUCGUUUUUGUGUUAAAAACUCUUCAUAUACCUUGCUGAGAAAGUUUUCUGAUUUACUUGAUCAAUCUGUUUCUGUUUCUGAAAUUUCGAAUUGUUUCUGUCUUGAUCUACUCUGUUUUGAUUAAACUUGAUGUACUGGACUUGAAAGUGAACCUGAAAUCAAAAUCUCUCUGUUCUGUUUCGAAAUCAAUCUGAUCUGUUAGGUUUGGGAUUUAUCAGUUCUGUUCAGAUUAGUUUUGAUCUGUUUUAAAUCAUUGGUUGAGUUUUUAAUUUGUUCUGAGAAUUGUCUAAGGUUUUAAGCUUCAGUUUGAAUCUGUUUCUGGUUUUGCAAAUUGAUUUUUGUUUUCUCUGUAGAACUUGUUACUGCUGUGUGUUGUUUUCUGUCUCAGGUACUAUGGCAGGAGAUCAGAACGGAAAGCUCACUAAGGAAGAAAGGCUGUUACUUAAAUCUAUGAAUGCUCAUCUGCAGCAGAUGAUGGAUAACAACAUGGGUGAAUUUCAAAAGGAGCUUAGACAAAAGUUUCUGCAGCAAACUGAUGAUCUUAGGCAGAAAAAUAAAAAGAGAAUGGACAGUCAAAAGCUUGAGCCAAGAUCACCCGAUUCUGUUCAAAACAAGUCAAGCAAGCAUAAGUGGUAUAAGGAAGAGGAAGCAGGACGUGGACAACAGUCUUACAAACAGACAGGCCACACUUCGAGCAGACCACAUCAAGCUUCUCGCACUCCUAAAUCAAAUAUUCAUUCUUCUUACAAUCAAAUUGUCACUAAGCCUCAACUUUAUGUUUUUACAGGGGAAGGUGAUUAUUUAAAGUGGGAAAGAACAAUGGAGAAGUGGCUUUGCUACAACAAAAUCCUGAAGAGAGAAGCAUUGGCUUAUGUGAUGUCUCAGCUCAAAGGAAACGUUUUUAAGUGGUUGUUGCAAGAAGAAGAUGAUCGCAGGUACUACAAGGAACCAGCUAUCACCACUUGGGAAGAUCUGAAGUUGCUACUAAGGAAGAAGUAUGCAUCCAAAGGCCACACUUCUCUGAAAUCUCCAAAGAAGAAAGUCAUAUCCGCAACAGACUUCAAAAGUGAAAAAUCAGAAACCAAGAUGGCUGAUUAUGAGAAAGAAAUCAGCAGCCUUGUUAAGGAGAUUCUUAAGACCAGCAAGCACUUGGACAAGCAGAAGAAGCUCCCAAAGAAUCAAGAACCAGUUGCUACUGUCUCAGAACUCAAUGAUGCAGAACCAGACUCAGCUGCCCCAAUUCAAGAAGCUCAAACCAAAACAUCUAUGGGAAAAGGAAAGUUUGAGAAAGAACAAGAGUUUUCUCUGUUCUUACCUCACUCUGAAUCUAAUUUUGAUAAUUCCUUUGAUGAACUAACUUGUCUUGAACCGGUGCAACCGAGUAGAAUUGUUUCAGUGUCACAGGUUGCAAAAGAAGACUCAGCAGAAAAAGAACCAGAGAGUACAACACAAGAGGAACAACAGAAAAACUUGCAGACAGAAUCAGCUCAUGAAUCUUUGUCUUAUGAUCUGCAAGAGCACUGUAAGGAGUUUAAUAUGGUUGCUUCUGUGCCUAGAAUGUUUGUUAAAGUGAGUACUGAAGACAUAAAACGUUUUGGUCUUGAUAAAGUAAA